CGCAUCUGUGCAUGCAGCAUAUCAAUAGCGGAGGAAAAGAAACUAACAAGGAUUCCCCUAGUAACGGCGAGUGAAGCGGGAAGAGCUCAAAUUUGAAAUCUUAAAGGGUUUCCCUUUACGAAUUGUAGUUUAAAGAAGUGUUUUCUGUUGAGGUUUUGGUAAAAGUUCUUUGGAAUAGGACAUCAUAGAGGGUGAGAAUCCCGUAUUUGACCUUUACUUUCAACUUUGUGAUACACUUUCAAAGAGUCGGAUUGUUUGGGAAUGCAGUCCAAAAUGGGUGGUAAAUUUCAUCUAAAGCUAAAUAUUGGCGAGAGACCGAUAGCGAACAAGUACCGUGAGGGAAAGAUGAAAAGAACUUUGAAAAGAGAGUUAAACAGUACGUGAAAUUGUCAAAAGGGAAGCGUUUGACACCAGUGUUGUUUUUCUGAAAAUCAAUUAAAGAACUGUUUAUGCUAAGUUGUUUAGACUUUAUCAGCUAUCUGUUUAGUUUUGAGCUUUUCUUUAAUGCACUUUUCAGUUAACAAGUCAACAUCAAUUUCUUUUGCUGUAAAAAAGCUUGAGGAAGGUGGCUUGAGAUUCGUCUUAAGUGUUUAUAGCCUCUUGCCUAUGCAGUCGGAGAGAUUGAGGUCUGCAGCGUAGAUCCUUCGGGGCUAAAUGCAUUUGUGCUAAGUUAUAGCAUUUUAUAGACAACUUGUUGACUAUGAUUUGUCUCGUAGCUUACUCGCUUAUGUUAUUUUACCUACGCUUAGGAUGUUGAAUCUGUGCGAGACUAC
This 773-nucleotide ribosomal RNA is filed under the name uncultured Neocallimastigales. RNAcentral describes it as "partial large subunit ribosomal RNA". It matches the Rfam family "Eukaryotic large subunit ribosomal RNA", at positions 26 to 644 of the family's 3401-position model. Lineage: Eukaryota; Fungi; Neocallimastigomycota; Neocallimastigomycetes; Neocallimastigales. The record is from RNAcentral.